AGUAACACAAGUACAGGGUGAUGAAAAUCAAGAGUGUCUGAAGUUUUGUCACACCCUUUAUUUUUAAAAGUGUUGGAUGACUUAAUGAACUAAAUAUAGUGUACUAACCUAAAUUCAUCAAUGGUCCAUUGUUCCCACCAUGACAUAAGAUUUGAUUUAUUAUAUAUACACAUGGUCAAUCAUAUAUCAGGAUAAUAUGGUUCAAAGUUAAAAGGAGCUCAAGUAAAAUAUGGAGCAUCAGUGAAGUCACUAGAGAACUGUUUACAUGGAUCAUUCAGGGAACAGGAAGUUAUAAAGGAAACAGGAAGUUCAGGGUUCUUUCUCUAAUCUGCACACAGCAAGCAGCAACAGAAAUGUAAGUUCCUGUACUGAAGUUAAGGUUUAGCAUUAGCAUGUAGCUUAGCAUUAGCAACAACUUGUAUUAGUUUAUUGUUUGAAUUUAUACAGAACUUUGGUAAUGACUAAACUUCUUGUGUCUUGUAGUUUUCACUCCUUCAAUCUGGUGAAGAAAUGAAAAGAGGAGAUCAUCUCUUUGCUCCCUUCAGAGCACUUCCUGUUGAUAAAUCCAGAGCUACAGAUUCACAGAUAUAAGAAGACCGAGGAGUUCAGAUGAAAAGAAACAAAGCUACAUGGACAGACAGCAUCGUUAACAAAAACAGGCCAAUCAGAGUCCACAUUUUGAAGGUCUCGGUCUGGGACUAGAAGGAAAAAACAUCAAAUAACUUCAGUCCCCGGUUACGACCACAACCUUCCUGGUGUUACGCUCCAACUGUUUGCUGCGGUUCACCAGAGACUUGACCUCAGACUUCAUCUUGCUGAUGUAGAGCCGAGCUACGGUGAACUCCUCCUCCACCGCUGAGCCGCUCCCCCUGUAUGUUUCUGCAGAACGUGGGGUCAGAGCUGAGAGACAAACCUCUUCUUGGUCCAUCUUCUGCUCCUUGAGUUUGUCAGCCAGCAGACUCUGUUGGUUGAUCUCAUCAUCCUGUGAAUUAUUACAAGAAAAGGACAUCAACUGUUUGUACAGGUUGCUCCUCCUCGUAUUUGCUCCGCUCGUGGCAACAAUAUUAUUUGACUUUUCUUUCACAAAGCUGAACUGUACCUGUAGGUCUGUCUUGAUGAGCGAGGCUCCUGCUUGGACCAGAUAAUGACAGAUAGUUCUUUGAGACAGGGACGCAGCUCGGUGAAGGACCGUCUCCCCCCUGGUCAACAGAGAGAACAGACAUCAACAGUGGCCCCCCUGCUGCUUCUUUUGGUGUCUUGUGUUUAUGAUGGCACAUAUAUCAUCACAUAAAGACUGAACAGAGAUCAGAGCACAGAUACAGACACAGGCAGUUUGAAAGCAUCAUCAUCUACACUCUGUUAACAUUUAAAUAAAGUGUUUAGCAUUUUAAAAACCUCAUGGUUUCAGUUCAAUGUUAGAUGUUUUCAAGCACAAAUAUAAUCUGUACUUACUGCAGUUUUUCUGGAACGACUAAAAACUACUUAAAAGGCCGGGUUGGUAAUUUUCUCCAGAUCCACUUUUUAAGAUUGUGGUUGAAAUUGUCUUUUGAUCCUGACAAUGCCAGCAAUGAGCUGAAGUCUGCUUCUGGGGUGGGUGCAGACGGAGCACUGAGGGAAUGCUAUUUUUAGAAAAUGACCAACCCUGCCUUUAACCCA
Labrus bergylta (ballan wrasse) is the source of this 1656-nucleotide non-coding RNA. Lineage: Eukaryota; Metazoa; Chordata; Actinopteri; Labriformes; Labridae. The record is from RefSeq and is a predicted model, not a curated record.